RNAcentral lists this ribosomal RNA (253 nucleotides) under uncultured bacterium. RNAcentral describes it as "partial 16S ribosomal RNA". It matches the Rfam family "Bacterial small subunit ribosomal RNA", at positions 524 to 776 of the family's 1533-position model. The record is from RNAcentral.
UACGGGGGGGGCAAGCGUUGUUCGGAAUUACUGGGCGUAAAGGGCCCGUAGGCGGCCGGCUAAGUCCGACGUGAAAUCCCCAGGCUUAACCUGGGAACUGCGUCGGAUACUGGCUGGCUUGAAUUCGGGAGAGGGAUGCAGAAUUCCAGGUGUAGCGGUGAAAUGCGUAGAUAUCAGGAGGAACACCGGUGGCGAAGGCGGGUCUCUGGGCAGUAACUGACGCUGAGGAGCGAAAGCGUGGGGAGCGAACAGG